AUUGAACGCUGGCGGCAUGCUUUACACAUGCAAGUCGAACGGCAGCGCGGGCUUCGGCCUGGCGGCGAGUGGCGAACGGGUGAGUAAUACAUCGGAACGUGCCCAGUAGUGGGGGAUAGCUCGGCGAAAGCCGGAUUAAUACCGCAUACGACCUGAGGGUGAAAGCGGGGGAUCUUCGGACCUCGCGCCAUUGGAGCGGCCGAUGGCCGAUUAGCUAGUUGGUGGGGUAAAGGCCUACCAAGGCGAAGAUCUGUAGCUGGUCUGAGAGGACGACCAGCCACGCUGGGACUGAGACACGGCCCAGACUCCUACGGGAGGCAGCAGUGGGGAAUUUUGGACAAUGGGCGAAAGCCUGAUCCAGCAAUGCCGCGUGUGUGAUGAAGGCCUUCGGGUUGUAAAGCACUUUUGGCGGGAACGAAAAGGACUGUGCCAAUACCACGGUUCGAUGACGGUACCCGCAGAAUAAGCACCGGCUAACUACG
This 482-nucleotide ribosomal RNA is filed under the name uncultured bacterium. RNAcentral describes it as "partial 16S ribosomal RNA". It matches the Rfam family "Bacterial small subunit ribosomal RNA", at positions 29 to 505 of the family's 1533-position model. The record is from RNAcentral.